CACCCGAUCUGGGUCAGGGAGGACCAGCAGGUGUUGGGCUACUUGCUCAGUACCCUCUCCAAGGAGGUGCUCGUCAUGGUGACCACAGUCACCACGUCGCUCGUGCUUAGGACCACGGUGGCAGGUAUGUUCUCGUCACAGUCCAUGAGCCGUGUGAACAACAUCAGGACGGCGCUCAUCAACGCCCAGAUGGGCAACCAAACGGUCGCCGCCUACUUCGCCUCUCUCCGCGGCCUCGCCGAUGAGCUUGAGGCUGCCGGGAAGGCCAUCCAAGUCGACGAGCUCAUCUCCUACAUCAUCCACCGCCUCGACGUCGACUACCAGCCCCUCGUCUCCGCCCUCGACGCCCGCAUCAUGCCGGUCUCCCUCGUUGAGCUCUACGCCAUGCUCAGCAACUUCGAUCAACGCAUGCCCCAGUUCAACCACUCGGGCGGCGGUUUCCGCUCCUCUGCCAACGCUGCGGUCCGCGACCAUGGUGAUGGCUCACGUGGUCGUGGCUCUUCCCGCAGCAGGUGGUGGCGGCAACAGUGGCGGCGGCAACUCCAAUGGCCGCUCCGGUGCAUCCCGCGGUCGUCGUGGUGA
This 582-nucleotide ribosomal RNA is filed under the name Triticum aestivum (bread wheat). RNAcentral describes it as "partial small subunit ribosomal RNA". Lineage: Eukaryota; Viridiplantae; Streptophyta; Magnoliopsida; Poales; Poaceae. The record is from RNAcentral.